GGUUUUUAGAAAUUAUUAAAAAUCUGGCCUGCUCAAUGCUAAAGUAAAUAGCCGCAGUAUUAUGACUGUGCAAAGGUAGCAUAAUCAUUUGUCUUUUAAUUUGGGACUAGAAUGAAAGGUUCAACUAAGUAAUAUUGUCUUAUAAUUAUAUUUUGAAUUUUAUAUUUUAGUAAAAAAGCUAAAAUUUAUUUCAAUGACAAGAAGACCCUAUCAAGCUUUACAAUUAAUCUAUUUAUUUUCAAACUAAAUAGAAAAUUGUUUUACUGGGGCAGUAAAUAAAACUUUUUUAUUUAAAUAUUAUGAAAAAUAAAUCUUGUUAAAACAAAAAAUUUUUAAAUAAUAAUAAGUUACUGUAGGGAUAACAGCAUAAUUUUUUUAAAGAGUUCUUAUCAUCAAAAAAGUUUGUGACCUCGAUGUUGGAUUAAGAUUCCUAAUUUGUGCAAUAAUUAAAAAAGGAAGUCUGUUCGACUUUUAAAUUCUUCCA
This 484-nucleotide ribosomal RNA is filed under the name Uroctonites giulianii. RNAcentral describes it as "partial 16S ribosomal RNA". It matches the Rfam family "Bacterial large subunit ribosomal RNA", at positions 1832 to 2600 of the family's 2925-position model. Lineage: Eukaryota; Metazoa; Arthropoda; Arachnida; Scorpiones; Vaejovidae. The record is from RNAcentral.